GACGAACGCUGGCGGCGUGCUUAACACAUGCAAGUCGAACGGAAAGGCCCUGCUUGCAGGGUACUAGAGUGGCGAACGGGUGAGUAACACGUGGGUGAUCUGCCCUGCACUUCGGGAUAAGCCUGGGAAACUGGGUCUAAUACCGGAUAGGAGCCAUUUUUAGUGUGAUGGUUGGAAAGUUUUUUCGGUGUAGGAUGAGCUCGCGGCCUAUCAGCUUGUUGGUGGGGUAAUGGCCUACCAAGGCGGCGACGGGUAGCCGGCCUGAGAGGGUGGACGGCCACAUUGGGACUGAGAUACGGCCCAGACUCCUACGGGAGGCAGCAGUGGGGAAUAUUGCACAAUGGGCGCAAGCCUGAUGCAGCGACGCCGCGUGGGGGAUGACGGCCUUCGGGUUGUAAACUCCUUUCGCUAGGGACGAAGCUUUUGUGACGGUACCUAGAGAAGAAGCACCGGCUAACUACGUG
This 464-nucleotide ribosomal RNA is filed under the name uncultured bacterium. RNAcentral's name for it is "partial 16S ribosomal RNA". It matches the Rfam family "Bacterial small subunit ribosomal RNA", at positions 28 to 507 of the family's 1533-position model. The record is from RNAcentral.